RNAcentral lists this ribosomal RNA (166 nucleotides) under Giardia duodenalis. RNAcentral's name for it is "Giardia intestinalis partial small subunit ribosomal RNA". Lineage: Eukaryota; Fornicata; Diplomonadida; Hexamitidae. The record is from RNAcentral.
ACCCGGGACGCGGCGGACGGCUCAGGACAACGGUUGCACCCCCCGCGGCGGUCCCUGCUAGCCGGACACCGCUGGCAACCCGGCGCCAAGACGUGCGCGCAAGGGCGGGCGCCCGCGGGCGAGCAGCGUGACGCAGCGACGGCCCGCCCGGGCUUCCGGGGCAUCA